Molecule: long non-coding RNA, 1046 nt
Filed under: Homo sapiens (human)
Lineage: Eukaryota; Metazoa; Chordata; Mammalia; Primates; Hominidae
Description: HSALNT0009467
Source: RNAcentral
GAUUUCAAAUCUCUGCCAGGAAGUGGCUUCAGACGCUUGAAGCCUGAAGAUGGAAAAUCCUAACCCUUGGUUUUGCUUCAGGUUCCAGCAAGUAGGAACAGAGUUCCCAUAAAAUGAAGCUAAGGUCACUGGCAGAGUGCAAUGGGUUAAACUGACAUGACCGGAAUUGGACAGUGAGCACUGCUGGCCCCAUCUCGGAAACGAGAUUGAUUGGCCAACUUAGUGAAAUAAGAUUUUGUCCACUCUACAUGCAGACACUGCCCACAAAACCUAUGAGAUGGGGAGAGCCAUACCCUUUUUUGAAGCAAAGCCAUCUGUAUUAGUGUUCUUCAAAGAAACAAAACCAAUAGGAGAUAUAUACAAAGAUAUUUAAGGGUGGCCCUGUGCUCUUGAUAUGCCAUGUUUGUGCCAUAGCUCUCUCUGCUCCAUGGAAGUCUUCUCGUGCCAGCCUGUGAUGGCUGCCCUCAGCAUAUUUUCUGCAGUCGUGACCUCUCCUUGUGACUCUAUCAGCUCAUGUGGCUGCUGCUUUGUCAUUCUGUUGGCAUCUGAGGAGAGGACACCACAGAUCCUGUCCCUAAAUGCUUCAGAAAUGAUGAUUAGAGGGAGAACUGUCAGUGAGUCAUUGUGGAAAAUGAUUUUUCUGUAAGUAAGAAGGAGAAGUGUGUUGUUGAAGAUUAUAAACCCCACCAUAGCAUCAAAAACCUGACUAUUUAAAGUAUACAUGGCAGUUUUCAAAAGAAGAGAUGAGCUCAGUGGGAUUCUUGGUUGUUAUGCAUUCAAUCUUAAAUGGAUUUGGGGGGAGAAAAAACACCAUUUGGUUAUUUUAAAGAGUUUAAGGUGCUAAGAAAAAUAAAUGUUAUUUAUAAAUACUCAAACUUUUGAAUAUUCUGCCUACAUUUUCUACAUUUUACUUCUAUUACUUUUGUUGAUCAGCUUAUCUUCUCCCUUAGAAUACUUUCUCAGUGAUUUUUUUAAAGUCUUAAAAACCAUAUUGCCACACUCCUACCACCAAAACACAAUUAACUUAUUUUUAUAAUCCUAUCUAA